Molecule: long non-coding RNA, 324 nt
Organism: Hordeum vulgare subsp. vulgare (domesticated barley)
Lineage: Eukaryota; Viridiplantae; Streptophyta; Magnoliopsida; Poales; Poaceae
Exons: 2
Source: RefSeq, a predicted model, not a curated record
CUGCAAGAAAAGAGACAUAAGGGGUGUGUGGUGAUCAUUGUAUGAAGGAAGGAAACCCAAGGUACUCAACCUAUUGAUGCACAUGGACAUGAUGACUCUCUAGCGUUUAUGGACCAACCAACCUGUAAUCAUGGACCUUAUUUUCUUGUAGACCAUUUGGUGUUUCGAGUGUUUUGGAGCUUGCACUUUGUGCAUGUAGAUACAAACUUGUGUGUUCUGGACCAUCCGAAAUCUCUCAUAGUAACCAAUAGUCCUUAUAUUUUUGUGACUUGUGUGUUCUAGAUGAUUGUUAAGAUGGUCAAAACUAUGCUUCCUCUAGGUUAA